RNAcentral lists this long non-coding RNA (999 nucleotides) under Sus scrofa (pig). RNAcentral's name for it is "lncRNA (ENSSSCG00040058450.1)". Lineage: Eukaryota; Metazoa; Chordata; Mammalia; Artiodactyla; Suidae. The record is from RNAcentral.
GGCCCGCCGUCCUCCGUGGGCGGGGGAGGGAAGCAGGUGGGUGAUCCGACUCCAGCCGUCAAGGCCCCCUGACCUGUCCUGCCCUCCUCUUGCCGUGACUUACGCUUGGAAAGGAACCAGCAUUUCUGGUUGGGCGUGUUUUAUUUAUAGUGCAAGAACAUCCACCGCAUUCCCCACAAAGUGGGCCGAUGUAGCUACCAGCCUCUCGGGCCAGCCGGAGCCCAUCGGCAGGUCCCACGGAGCAGGAGCCCCCCUGUCGCGAGCCGUUCGCAGCCCGGGACCAGAAAGGACGGGGAUGCCCGCAGCCGAGAUGGGUGUUUAUGCGGAUGGGCUCAGGCACCAGGGGCACCUCGCUCUCUGCGAGUUUCCUCCAACCACGUCUUGCGUUCAGGUGCCCGGAAAGUGCAGGUUAUUUCUGCCUGGACGUUGGCGGGAACCAGCCUGUGGGCAGAUCCAUCCGGUGGAGACUUUUGUAAAGGCACACCUUCCUGAGACCAUCGGACAGAUGCAGCUUCAGGACACCUGUGACUCACAACCGAAGGUCUCCUGAGCUCAGGGGUGCAGAAAACCCCUGUGGCGCUGCCACGCAGGAGUGCCAGGACCCCAGCCUUCUCUCCUCGGGAAAAAAUGCGCAACCUAGAAGUUGGGAGAUGUGUGUUAUUCAGCAGACAAAACCGAGGACUUAAGCUGGGACACAGGGGGUCAGAGAAUUCUGAGAAACUGCAUCAAAGAGGCCAGGAGUCUUUGCCACAAAGACCAGGCGAAAGAACAUCAAAGAUGGCUGUUGACUGAAGAAAACCAGACGUCCCAAACGAGGGAGCCGAGCGCCCUUCUAGGCCUGGGGAGAUGCCAGAGGCUGGGGCGUGGAAGCCAGGCCUUCGCUGUGCACCUCAGCUCCCUGAGUGUCCUGAGUUUUCUCACCCCGAGUUUCCUUAGGCUGCACCUUCGGGGGCGGGGGGUUGGCUGCAGGGCGGGCUCGUCUCCUCCCUGAGUUCCCCG